RNAcentral lists this ribosomal RNA (287 nucleotides) under uncultured bacterium. RNAcentral describes it as "partial 16S ribosomal RNA". It matches the Rfam family "Bacterial small subunit ribosomal RNA", at positions 773 to 1060 of the family's 1533-position model. The record is from RNAcentral.
GUGGAUUAGAUACCCUGGUAGUCCACGCCGUAAACGUUGGGCGCUAGGUGUGGGGAACCUUCCACGUUCUCCGUGCCGUAGCUAACGCAUUAAGCGCCCCGCCUGGGGAGUACGGCCGCAAGGCUAAAACUCAAAGGAAUUGACGGGGGCCCGCACAAGCGGCGGAGCAUGUUGCUUAAUUCGAUGCAACGCGAAGAACCUUACCUAGGCUUGACAUAUACCGAAAACUCAUAGAGAUAUGGGGUCCGCAAGGGCGGUAUACAGGUGGUGCACGGCCGUCGACAACU